This is a non-coding RNA of Hordeum vulgare subsp. vulgare (domesticated barley), 136 nucleotides long. NCBI's taxonomy places the organism in Eukaryota, Viridiplantae, Streptophyta, Magnoliopsida, Poales, Poaceae. The record is from Rfam.
CUUGUACUCUCUCCAUCCCAAAAUUCUUGUCUCAGGUUUGUUUAAAAAUGAAUGUAUCUAAAUACUAUAAUAUGACUAGAUACAUUCAUAUUUAGACAAAUCUAAGACAAGAAUUUUGAGUGGGAGGAAGUAUAAA